UUCUGGGUCGGGGUUUCGUACGUA
This 24-nucleotide non-coding RNA is filed under the name Callithrix jacchus (white-tufted-ear marmoset). The record is from RNAcentral. Lineage: Eukaryota; Metazoa; Chordata; Mammalia; Primates; Cebidae. RNAcentral also lists the same sequence under 6 other names.